AAUAAGGGCUGGGAAAAACCGGGGCCACCCGCCCCGGUAAUACCGGCGGCUCAAGUGGUCGUCGCUUUUAUUGGGCCUAAAACGUCCGUACCCGGUUUGGUAAAUCUGUGGGUAAAUCACCCACCUUAACUGGUUGAAUUCUGCAAAAACUGCCAAACUAGGGACCGGGAGAGGUGGGGGGUACUCUCGGGGUAGGGGUAAAAUCCUGUCUUCCUGGGAGGACCACCAGUUGCGAAGGCGCCCCACUGGAACGGAUCCGACGGUCAGGGACAAAGCCUAGGGGCACAAACCGGAUUAAAUACCCGGGUAGUCCUAGGAGUAAACGCUGUGAACUUGGUGUCGGGGAUCCUAAUUGGGUCCCCGGGGCCGGAGUGAAAAUGUUAAGUUCACUGCCUGGGGAGUACGGUCGCAAGGCUGAAACUUAAAGGAAUUGGCGGGGGAGCACAGGAAUUGGCGGGGGAGC
Molecule: ribosomal RNA, 463 nt
Filed under: uncultured archaeon
Lineage: Archaea
Description: bacterial SSU rRNA
Rfam family: Archaeal small subunit ribosomal RNA
Source: RNAcentral